UUGCACUUCUGUGCGAAAAAAAAAAAAAACCGAGUGACUGAAAGGGUUAACCUUAUGUUGCACAAAUAACAAGUUUCAACUGCUAUUCAUGGACUAGGUGCCUGUUUUUCAUUGCUUUAUUUUGCUCAACUGCAAUAUGUAUACCAGGGUAGUCCUUAUUUGGGGGUAAUCGAAAAAUAGUCAUUGCUACACACCCGAGACGUGUUUCACAUCAUAAACAAAAACUCUAUGUAAAGUUUCGUGCUGCUACAUCAAUGGGGACACGUACCUCCAUGAGAAAUUCCUACCAAAGAUACGCUCUGACGAUGUCUCCAACUCAAGCAACGGUAUCAGGACAUAUUUUCAAGAAUGACCUUGACUGGAUUGAAGAUGUACCCAGUACCGGUGCUUUGGCCGAGUACAGGGCUUCGGCAUCUUUUUGUUGGAAGCAACUUCGCCUAGUAAUGGAAGAUCCGGAUGUUCUAAGACUGAAGAUGAAAUUGUGGAAAGCGAUGGAAGCAGACCCUGAAUUUCACCCGCAUCAGGAUAUAACGCCUAGUGCAAAUGAACAGAAAAGACAAGUUGCCAGACAAUUGGCUCGCCUCAACCAUCUUCAUCUCUUGCCACCUAACAUAAAUCAAUUCAACUACAAGGCAAAGACAGGUUACCUGAUGACGUUGAACGAAGCAACAGCCAUAGUCAGCCCGUCGUUGUCUGUGAAGAUUGCCAUUGGAGUUUACUUAUUUGGCAAUACGCUGCUUAGUCUGGGCACUGAUCGUCACCUGCCUAUGUUUCAUGCAGUUUGGAACAAGCAGAUGCUAGGCUGUUUUGCAUUGACGGAAGUCGCCCAUGGUAGCAAUACGAAAAUGAUGAGAACCACGGCAACGUAUGAUCCAAAAACCCAACAAUUCGUACUACACACCCCCGACUUUCAGGCUGCAAAGUGCUGGAUCGGAAACUUAGGGAAAACAUGCCUAGUAGCGAUAGUCUUCGCUCAGUUGAUUACAUUGAAAGAAUGCCAUGGAUUGCACGCUUUCAUAGUCCCGAUUAGAGAUCCGAAAACCUACCUUCCGUAUCCGGGCAUCACAGUAGGGGAUAUGGGAGAAAAAAUGGGUCUCAACGGUAUUGAUAACGGUUUCCUAUUGUUCAACAAUUACCGAAUACCGAGGGAGAGUCUGCUGAAUCGAACGGGAGAUGUUUCUCCGGACGGCGAAUACGAAAGUUCCUUUUCAGAUCCUCAAAAAAUUCUUGGUGCGGCACUUGAAAAUCUCUCUGCCGGCCGGAUAGGUAUUUGCCAAGAAAGCACAAACACAAUCGGAGCCGCGGUAGUAAUAGCGGUGAGGUACGCUGCGGUUAGGAAACAGUUCGGUCAAUCAACGUCCAAUGGAAAGGGGGAAAAUCCUUUGAUCGAGUACGAGCUUCAUCGAUGGCGGUUGUUUCCCUACUUGUCUGCGGCGAUAGUUUUCAGGACCUUUAUGUCUGAAUUUACUGGAGUUUACUUGGAAAAUGUACAAAAAUCCAUGGAGGGUGAAAACAUACCAGAUCUUAGUCAGAUUGUAUCAGAAAUCCACUCAAUUAUAUCAGCGAUAAAGCCACUGAUCACCUGGACUUGUCGGGACGCAAUACGAGAGUGCAGAGAAGCUUGCGGUGGUCACGGUUACCUCAAAGCUGCUAACCUGGGUGAACUCGGUGUAAAUCACGAGCCCACCGUCACCUAUGAGGGUGACAACAAUGUCCUGCCUCAGCAGACGAGUAACUGGCUGUUACGUCAAUGGGCGGAGGUGCAAGCUGGGGCUCCGUUAUCAAGCCCUCUCGGAUCAGUAGAUUUCCUUGCUAGCGGGCCAGUCAUAUUGAAAAGGAAGUUCCAGGGAAACAGCGUCGCCGAUGUGAUGUCUAAUAAUUUUGUAAGGGAAACAAACGAGUGGCUGCUGUGUUGGCUCGUCGUACAAACGCAACGUCAAAUUGAUCAAGGUAUUCAUGGUGGGCUAGAUAACUUCACCGCACGUAACAAGGCACAGGUCUACCGUGCAGCAAAUCUUUCAAAAGUUUACGGAGAGAUGAUAGUGCAAAAGUACUGUAUCGUCAGGCUGAAACGAUUGAUUCCAACGAGAUCAGACACACGUACCUUGGAACUGGUAUUAGAUAAGGUACUUCUUCUCUACACGCUGUCCUGUCUUGAGAAGCAUCUGGCUACCCUCUACCAAGGUGGAUACUGUGAGGGGCCUCGAAUGGCAGAUUUACUGCGGGAGUCGAUCCUUAUAUUAUGCGAACAGCUGAAACCGGAAGCUCUAGGCAUCGCAGACUCAUUAGCACCUCCUGACUUCGUUUUGAAUUCUGUCCUGGGUCGAGCCGAUGGAAAAGAAUAUCAACAGGAAAGUCCACUAUCGAAAAAGUCGGCUGUAAAUAAUGUCGAGAACGUGACCGAAACUGAUUCGGCCAACACUUGAUCGGAAUUCAAUCAGAAUUUGAUCAGGAACGAUCACUCACCACGCAGAAAAAACAUACUUGUAACAAUUUUUGAGAUGGCGUUAAGGCUGUCUUAUUUAAUAUUGGCGAAUUAUCUAGAGCAUCGGAAUCUAAGUCAUAGGGGAGAUUAUUCACUUAUAAGUGGAACUUGAAGUCACAUAGCCUGCUCUUACUCUAUAGUGCAGAAACUAUUGCAUCCCGGCGAAGGAGAGUACUGACAACAGUAGCCGUGAAUGGUAUACGAACAUCUCGAAACCUCGUUUAGGUGUAAUCCAAGUGGUAUGGAGAGGGCCAAGUGGUGGAAGGAGAUGCUAACCGCCUCGGAGAAUCCUCUCAAAGUUCCCCGUGCCAAGCUCUAACAUCAUUUAGC
RNAcentral lists this unclassified non-coding RNA (2815 nucleotides) under Neodiprion pinetum (white pine sawfly). RNAcentral describes it as "peroxisomal acyl-coenzyme A oxidase 3, transcript variant X6". The record is from RNAcentral. Lineage: Eukaryota; Metazoa; Arthropoda; Insecta; Hymenoptera; Diprionidae.